GACGAACGCUGGCGGCGUGCCUAAUACAUGCAAGUUGAGCGAUGAAGAUUGGUGCUUGCACCAAUUUGAAGAGCAGCGAACGGGUGAGUAACGCGUGGGGAAUCUGCCUUUGAGCGGGGGACAACAUUUGGAAACGAAUGCUAAUACCGCAUAACAACUUUAAACAUAAGUUUUAAGUUUGAAAGAUGCAAUUGCAUCACUCAAAGAUGAUCCCGCGUUGUAUUAGCUAGUUGGUGAGGUAAAGGCUCACCAAGGCGAUGAUACAUAGCCGACCUGAGAGGGUGAGCGGCCACAUUGGGACUGAGACACGGCCCAAACUCCUACGGGAGGCAGCAGUGGGGAAUCUUCGGCAAUGGACGAAAGUCUGACCGAGCAACGCCGCGUGAGUGAAGAAGGUUUUCGGAUCGUAAAACUCUGUUGGUAGAGAAGAACGUUGGUGAGAGUGGAAAGCUCAUCAAGUGACGGUAACUACCCAGAAAGGGACGGCUAACUACGUG
Molecule: ribosomal RNA, 497 nt
Filed under: uncultured bacterium
Lineage: Bacteria
Description: partial 16S ribosomal RNA
Rfam family: Bacterial small subunit ribosomal RNA
Source: RNAcentral